UGUAUACUCCCUCCGGCCGAAAAAGCUUGUCCCUCAAAUGGAUGUAUCUAACACCAAGUUAGUGCUAGAUACAUCCAUUUGAGAAACAAGCUUGUGACAAGCUUUUUCGGACGGAGGGAGUACUUG
Triticum aestivum (bread wheat) is the source of this 126-nucleotide non-coding RNA. NCBI's taxonomy places the organism in Eukaryota, Viridiplantae, Streptophyta, Magnoliopsida, Poales, Poaceae. The record is from Rfam.